RNAcentral lists this ribosomal RNA (854 nucleotides) under human gut metagenome. RNAcentral's name for it is "bacterial SSU rRNA". It matches the Rfam family "Bacterial small subunit ribosomal RNA", at positions 261 to 1118 of the family's 1533-position model. The record is from RNAcentral.
CGGCCCACCUAGUCUUCGAUGGAUAGGGGUUCUGAGAGGAAGGUCCCCCACAUUGGAACUGAGACACGGUCCAAACUCCUACGGGAGGCAGCAGUGAGGAAUAUUGGUCAAUGGGCGAGAGCCUGAACCAGCCAAGUAGCGUGAAGGAUGACUGCCCUAUGGGUUGUAAACUUCUUUUAUACGGGAAUAAAGUGAGCCACGUGUGGCUUUUUGUAUGUACCGUAUGAAUAAGGAUCGGCUAACUCCGUGCCAGCAGCCGCGGUAAUACGGAGGAUCCGAGCGUUAUCCGGAUUUAUUGGGUUUAAAGGGAGCGUAGGCGGGUUGUUAAGUCAGUUGUGAAAGUUUGCGGCUCAACCGUAAAAUUGCAGUUGAUACUGGCGACCUUGAGUGCAACAGAGGUAGGCGGAAUUCGUGGUGUAGCGGUGAAAUGCUUAGAUAUCACGAAGAACUCCGAUUGCGAAGGCAGCCUGCUAAGCUGCAACUGACAUUGAGGCUCGAAAGUGUGGGUAUCAAACAGGAUUAGAUACCCUGGUAGUCCACACAGUAAACGAUGAAUACUCGCUGUUGGCGAUAUACGGUCAGCGGCCAAGCGAAAGCAUUAAGUAUUCCACCUGGGGAGUACGCCGGCAACGGUGAAACUCAAAGGAAUUGACGGGGGCCCGCACAAGCGGAGGAACAUGUGGUUUAAUUCGAUGAUACGCGAGGAACCUUACCCGGGCUUAAAUUGCAGAUGAAUUACGGUGAAAGCCGUAAGCCGCAAGGCAUCUGUGAAGGUGCUGCAUGGGUGUCGUCAGCUCGUGCCGUGAGGUGUCGGCUUAAGUGCCAUAACGAGCGCAACCCUUGUUGUCAGUUAC